Molecule: ribosomal RNA, 482 nt
Filed under: uncultured bacterium
Lineage: Bacteria
Description: bacterial SSU rRNA
Rfam family: Bacterial small subunit ribosomal RNA
Source: RNAcentral
AACACAUGCAAGUCGAACGAGAAAGCGGACUUCGGUCUGUGAGUACAGUGGCAGACGGGUGAGUAACACGUGGGUAACCUGCCCGGAGUGGGGGACAACGUUCCGAAAGGGACGCUAAUACCGCAUAACAUCUCGAGCACUUCGGUGCUUGAGAUCAAAGCUUGCCUCUUCUUGAAAGCAAGCGCCACCGGAGGGACCCGCGCCCCAUUAGCUUGUUGGUGAGGUAACGGCUCACCAAGGCUCCGAUGGGUAGCCGGCCUGAGAGGGUGAUCGGCCACACUGGAACUGAGACACGGUCCAGACUCCUACGGGAGGCAGCAGUCGAGAGGCUUCGGCAAUGGGAGAAACCCUGACCGAGCGACGCCGCGUGAGGGAUGAAGCCCCUCGGGGUGUAAACCUCUUUUCUGAGGGAAGAACCCUAUGAGGACGAAUAAGACUCAUAGCUGACGGUACCUCAGGAAUAAGCUCCGGCUAACUCCGUG